This 73-nucleotide transfer RNA is filed under the name Perca fluviatilis (European perch). It matches the Rfam family "tRNA". Rfam says of the family: Transfer RNA (tRNA) molecules are approximately 80 nucleotides in length. Their secondary structure includes four short double-helical elements and three loops (D, anti-codon, and T loops). Further hydrogen bonds mediate the characteristic L-shaped molecular structure. tRNAs have two regions of fundamental functional importance: the anti-codon, which is responsible for specific mRNA codon recognition, and the 3' end, to which the tRNAs corresponding amino acid is attached (by aminoacyl-tRNA synthetases). tRNAs cope with the degeneracy of the genetic code in two manners: having more than one tRNA (with a specific anti-codon) for a particular amino acid; and 'wobble' base-pairing, i.e. permitting non-standard base-pairing at the 3rd anti-codon position. The record is from Rfam by way of RNAcentral. Lineage: Eukaryota; Metazoa; Chordata; Actinopteri; Perciformes; Percidae.
GGGGAAUUAGCUCAAAUGGUAGAGUCCUUGCUUAGCAUGCAAGGGUUAGUGGGUUUGAUACCCUCAUUCUCCA